UACAGAGGUCCCAAGCGUUGUUCGGAUUCAUUGGGCGUAAAGGGUGCGUAGGCGGCGCCAUAAGUUGGAUGUGAAAUCUCGGGGCUCAACCCCGAAACUGCAUUCAAUACUGUGGUGCUUGAGUACUGGAGAGGAGACUGGAAUUCAUGGUGUAGCAGUGAAAUGCGUAGAUAUCAUGAGGAAGGCCAGUGGCGAAGGCGGGUCUCUGGACAGUUACUGACGCUGAGGCACGAAGGCCAGGGGAGCAAACGGG
RNAcentral lists this ribosomal RNA (253 nucleotides) under uncultured bacterium. RNAcentral's name for it is "partial 16S ribosomal RNA". It matches the Rfam family "Bacterial small subunit ribosomal RNA", at positions 524 to 776 of the family's 1533-position model. The record is from RNAcentral.